CGGCGUGGAUUAGGCAUGCAAGUCGUGCGAGAAAGGGUAGCAAUACCUGAGUACAGCGGCGAACUGGUGAGUACAAGGUGGGUAAUGUGCCCUGAAGUGGGGGAUAACACCGGGAAACCGGUGCUAAUACCGCAUAUGAUCAUCGGGUCUUCGGACCUGAUGAUUAAAGCAGUGAUGCGCUUCGGGAUCGGCCCGCCCCCGAUUAGCUAGUUGGUGAGGUCAAAGCUCACCAAGGCUACGAUCGGUAGCUGGUCUGAGAGGAUGGUCAGCCACACUGGAACUGAGAUACGGUCCAGACUCCUACGGGGGGCAGCAGUCUAGAGGCUUCGGCAAUGGGGGCAACCCUGACCGAGCGACGCCGCGUGUGGGAUUGAAGGCCUUCGGGUCGUAAACCACUGUCAUUGGGAAAGAAUGCCCUGGUGGCGAACCAGGGAGAGACGGUACCCAAGAAGGAAGCCCCGGCUAACUCCGUGCCAGCAGCCGCGGUAAUACGGAGGGGGCAAGCGUUGUUCGGAUUUACUGGGCGUAAAGGGUGUGUAGGCGGCUGCGCAAGUCUGGUGUGAAAUCUUCACCGCUUAACGGGAAGAGGUCACUGGAAACUGCGUAGCUCGAGUAUGGUAGAGGCAAGCGGAAUUCCUGGUGUAGCGGUGGAAUGUGUAGAUAUCAGGAAGAACACCUGUGGCGAAGGCGGCUUGCUGGGCCAUCACUGACGCUGAGACACGAAAGCGUGGGGAGCAAACGGGAUUAGAUACCCCGGUAGUCCACGCUGUAAACGGUGCGCACUAGGUGUGGGAGGUAUCGACCCCUCCUGUGCCGCAGUUAACACAUUAAGUGCGCCGCCUGGGGAGUACGGCCGCAAGGUUGAAACUCAAAGGAAUUGACGGGGGCCCGCACAAGCGGUGGAGGAUGUNGUUUAAUUCGACGCAACGCGAAGAACCUUACCUGGGCUUGAACCGUAGAUUAAACUCCUGGAAACAGGAGCUGUGGCAACACGAAUCUAUAGAGGUGCUGCGUGGCUGUCGUCAGCUCGUGUCGUGAGAUGUUGGGUUAAGUCCCGCAACGAGCGCAACCCUUGUCGCCAGUUACCAUCAUUCAGUUGGGGACUCUGGCGAGACUGCCGGUGACAAACCGGAGGAAGGUGGGGAUGACGUCAAGUCANCAUGGCCCUUACGUCCAGGGCUACAAACGUCCUAC
This 1194-nucleotide ribosomal RNA is filed under the name uncultured soil bacterium PBS-III-16. RNAcentral describes it as "bacterial SSU rRNA". It matches the Rfam family "Bacterial small subunit ribosomal RNA", at positions 40 to 1228 of the family's 1533-position model. The record is from RNAcentral. Lineage: Bacteria; Candidatus Sumerlaeota.